RNAcentral lists this long non-coding RNA (856 nucleotides) under Brassica napus (rape). RNAcentral's name for it is "long non-coding RNA (BNAP_LNC001069)". The record is from RNAcentral. Lineage: Eukaryota; Viridiplantae; Streptophyta; Magnoliopsida; Brassicales; Brassicaceae.
AAAAAAUCCAUAAAAUAUGCAUAAUGGAUCUAGUGACAAAUAUACAACAUUUAUUCACCAUACAGCAGUGAAUAUUUUUAUGGACAUAUGCAGCAGUGAAUAUACAAAUUUACGAGUUCGAUACUCAAGGGUACAUCUCAGCAGUGAUUAUUUUUAUAGGACAUAUACAACAUUUAUUCACCAUACAUCACAAUAUCACAUAUAUAUAAACUCUUUGUUGUGUUCCUUGGGAUACACGAAAAAUGAAACAAAGGAAGAAGAAACAACAAGCCCUAGCCCAAAACAUUGUAGACUGAAGAUCAAAUCUUUAAAACAUCAAAUUUACUGCUAAUAGGGCUUCACUGACUUCUUCUAGGCCUUAUUAAACUGAGGCCAAGCCCACUGCCUCCGUCACAUUCCCGGAUAAGCCAUAUAUACCAAGAAUCAAAUCUCAAGCGAAUCGAUUUUAAAAUAUAGAAGAAGGGAUAAAUGAUGAAGAUGACCAGCAUGGUUCUCUUGUCCACUUACGGUGUGGGGACUGGUCGGCAUAUUCUUUUCCGACCACGUGCCUCCCCAGGGACUCUCAACGUGAUAUACACGCCGAAAGUGGAAAACAGAGCUCUGAGUAUUGGAGGAGAAUCUUAACAGUGCUAAUAUUUAAAUAACGACCAUGUGGUCACUCAUAUACUUUUCUCUAUUCUUUUUAAUCGAUCAUAAAAUGCUUAAUUUGAUUUUACCACUCUUUUUAGACUGUUAAUUGGUUCUUCCUUUUGUUGAGGCUUCAACUUCAAGCAACACCGCAUCCAUAAUGGAUCCAAACUAGGAGUCAAAGUGAAUAUGUCCCUUCAAAAUACAUUAUUGCAUUGAUUUGCCGAUA